GAGUGAAGUGUCAUGGAGCUUAGUACCUGCACUUAAGUCUUAAGUAAUCGAAAGACAGAAUAAUUAAGUCAAGCACUAUUCCUCUUGCCUAUACUUCACCUUUGUUCUGGAGUUUUGCAUAAGUUUUCAAAAAUAAAGCUCAGAGUUCCCAGCUAUUAUACUCUCAAAUGUCUCUAUAUAUGGUAUUUGUGGAUCCUUACCAAAAAUGUCACUUACCUAUAACUAAGGGAAUAUUUAUGCGAAGCUCAUAGGUGUGAAAAACAGCUCAUACAUAUGUUGUCUAAUCGAGCCAUGGAUCCAAAGGAACUCAGCAUAUAAUUAAAUCAAGAUGUGCGUGUGUGGUGGAUUAAAUGAUAGUAAUGGUGAAAAUAUAUAAGUAAUGAUAAAACUUACAUCUCAUUGCUCCUCGUAUUGCUAUCCCUCCUCCUCUUUGAUCUUUGCUUUGGGAGAACAUGGGCUAUCUUUUUUUAUUUUCUCUUUUUUUUUGAGGUGGGUAGUAAAUACCCCUAAUUCAACUGUCGGUCACUUGUCCAUUUUUUUCUGCUCAGGUGGGCAUCUUUGUACCCCUAAUUCUACUCCGGACACUUGUCCAUUUUUACCUCUCGUCUCACUCUUUCUCUUUCGUUUUCGAGGUUCCGGGCACUUGCCCCUUUUUAUUUCCUUGCAUAUUUUUGCAUAACCCAUGCCUCUUCUGCAUUGAAUCUUUUUGGAGAAAGAGAAUAACAACACUUGGGACAGUGAGUGAUAAUAAUAUUUUAGCAGAUUUUUAUGAAUGGUGGUGGAUGGUGUAGUAGAUGUGUGCAAGUGAAUAUCUUAAUUUAACCACAUGAAAAGUUCCUAAGGGUCUACACAGCUUGAUCAAACUCAAUGUGAAUAUAAGUAGCAAAAGAUGUUAUGGCAAGUAUGGUUGUGGUAGGAAUUUUGUCAUGCUAGGAACUCAUCAUGUGAUUUGCAUGUUUUCGAAAUAAAUCUCCAGAACUUAGUGUAGUAAGAACAAGAUAAACAACAGCUCAACUUUAUAUCAUUUCCUUCUCUUACCUGGACUUUAGUUUUAGGUUCAUGCUUCCCAUAGAUAGUAAAUUUCAGUUUUAGUAAUUCCUGGGAGAACUUUAAUAUAAAAGCUAGGUACUUGAAAGUAAGCAAAUAGAGCAACUGUUCAUCAUUUCCAUCAUGUAUCUUUUUAGUCUUUUUAUCUUUCUAGAGAUUAACACUUGGCAGAUAGAUAAAGCACACUUAUCUACACACUCUUUUUAUAGAAUGCAGU
This 1264-nucleotide long non-coding RNA is filed under the name Sorghum bicolor (sorghum). RNAcentral's name for it is "long non-coding RNA (SBIC_LNC004817)". Lineage: Eukaryota; Viridiplantae; Streptophyta; Magnoliopsida; Poales; Poaceae. The record is from RNAcentral.